RNAcentral lists this long non-coding RNA (203 nucleotides) under Populus tremula. Its description in RNAcentral is "long non-coding RNA (PTRE_LNC000584)". The record is from RNAcentral. Lineage: Eukaryota; Viridiplantae; Streptophyta; Magnoliopsida; Malpighiales; Salicaceae.
AAAAAUAAAAUAUUAAUAAGUUAUUUUCCAGCUUAUUUUCCAUGACAUAACCAAACACUGGAAAGUGUUUUCCAGUUCAUUUUCCAUAACACUACCAAACAUCGGAAAAUACUUUCCCGGAAUUCACUUUUCAGGAAUUCACUUUCCCCGGAAUUCACUUUCCAAAAGGAAUUCACUUUCCUGCAAACAAACGGAGCCUUAAU